This 1072-nucleotide long non-coding RNA is filed under the name Mus musculus (house mouse). Its description in RNAcentral is "RIKEN cDNA 2600014E21 gene". Lineage: Eukaryota; Metazoa; Chordata; Mammalia; Rodentia; Muridae. The record is from RNAcentral.
AAGGCAGGUCUAGUGGCAGUGGGGCUGGCUCGGCGGAUCCCUGUCAGUCACUUUGCUCUCGUACUAAGUGUACUUUUGUGCCAUUUAAGCAGCCGAUGGUGUCAUUGGCGUUGAGAGUGCAGCUUCUACAGCUCACACUGAAGGCUUUGGGGACCCAGGAGGGCGCGAGUUGUUUUAAGAUACAUGGCCAUUUGACAUACCCGUGUUAAGUUCAAUCUUGCUACAAAAGAAGGCCAUUUGUACUUCCUGACCCUGAAAGCAAGAACUGUGUCUCUUUAAAUCUACUGAGGAAGAUAUUCCUUCUGGCCCACAGGAUGCCAAAAUGACUCGAUGAUUUAUUUAUGCAGCGCUUGGCAGCCCAUCGUCCAGAUUGUGGCUGAAGCUGAAUUUUAUGAGCCUUCCCCCAGUGAAAACAGAACGGAAAUGGAGAGGAGAGCCCAGCAUGACUUGCGCCGUGCCAAAGGAAUACGUGUGAGUUGGCUUCGUGUCAUCGUAACAAAACCCUGAGAGAAAUAUCUUGAAAGAGCCAGGUUGGUCCAGACCUGCUGGCAAGCCUGCAGCCCCAUCCACCGAUUACCUAAUACACUUGUGACAUCUGCUUUCCUUGUUGUGAGAAAACACAGGGAGGAAGUGUGUGCAGAAGGGGUGAUGCCUGACCUACACACCCGGCAAUACCAGAAGUUUCACUACCUUCCGUUGGUAAACGCUUCAGGGAAGGCUCUGCAACCCUGAACGUGUUUUAUUGUAGAACCUCACUAGGAAACUCAUCAGUAUUUAUUAAAGAUGAAUUAAAAGAAGGAGGAAAAGGAAAAACGGGAUAGUGAAGAGAAUAGAUGAAUGAAAAAGAAGCAAAGGGAAGAGAGGAGGAAGGGACAAAGAGGGCAAGAAAAGAGAAAAGAGAGAUGAGAGACCAGGACUUCCCACCUAACCUUACCAAACUUUUUCAGUUGAGCUUUUAAUGGGAUACUAUUCCCAAGAGGAAAUUCAAAAAGAAAACCACCUUGAAACAUCCUUGCUUUUAAUUGUACUCUUUCAACUGCCAGGAAAUUAAUUAGGUAAGACAAAAAGAAAA